GUUGCUUCUUUGCAAGAGUAAAUAGUAAAGUUAACAAAUAAUCAAACAAUGUAAUUGCUUAUAAAACUGAAGUCUCUCAUAUACUAUCGCUGCUAACCAAUUUUGUAACGUGUUUGGCUUAUAAACUAUCUGUUAGUAUCCGUUUUCACAGAAUCUUAGAUACUCAAAUAUCAAUAUUUUGAUGAACUCAAACGCUAAUUUCAACUAGGAGGUUUUAUUAAAAACUACUAUACCAACUUCUAAACUUUAGAACUUAACAAAGAAACAACAAUAUUUACACAAUUGACUUG
Molecule: long non-coding RNA, 290 nt
Filed under: Mytilus galloprovincialis (Mediterranean mussel)
Lineage: Eukaryota; Metazoa; Mollusca; Bivalvia; Mytilida; Mytilidae
Source: RNAcentral